RNAcentral lists this ribosomal RNA (428 nucleotides) under Verrucomicrobiota bacterium. RNAcentral's name for it is "Verrucomicrobia bacterium partial 16S ribosomal RNA". It matches the Rfam family "Bacterial small subunit ribosomal RNA", at positions 355 to 776 of the family's 1533-position model. The record is from RNAcentral. Lineage: Bacteria; Pseudomonadati; Verrucomicrobiota.
UGGGGAAUCUUCCGCAAUGGACGAAAGUCUGACGGAGCAACGCCGCGUGAGUGAAGACGGCCUUCGGGUUGUAAAGCUCUGUGAUUCGGGACGAAAGGCCAUAUGUGAAUAAUAUAUGGAAAUGACGGUACCGAAAAAGCAAGCCACGGCUAACUACGUGCCAGCAGCCGCGGUAAUACGUAGGUGGCAAGCGUUGUCCGGAAUUAUUGGGCGUAAAGCGCGCGCAGGCGGUCACUUAAGUCCAUCUUAGAAGUGCGGGGCUUAACCCCGUGAUGGGAUGGAAACUGGGAGACUGGAGUAUCGGAGAGGAAAGUGGAAUUCCUAGUGUAGCGGUGAAAUGCGUAGAUAUUAGGAAGAACACCGGUGGCGAAGGCGACUUUCUGGGCUCAUUCUGACGCUGAGGAACGAAAGCGUGGGUAGCAAACAGG